This 1863-nucleotide long non-coding RNA is filed under the name Pelobates cultripes (western spadefoot toad). Lineage: Eukaryota; Metazoa; Chordata; Amphibia; Anura; Pelobatidae. The record is from RNAcentral.
GUGACUUUCUUUGAAUUUUUUUUCCCCUCAGACCCUUCAUUUUACACCCCCACAUAUAUCACCUCCCCCACCCCCACCGCCACCCAAAAAAGUGAGAGAGAGAAGGGGGGGGGGGGAGAGCAGACUCUUUGCAAUCAGCAGAGAGCACUCACAGAGCCAGAGAAGGUAGCAAAAUAGUCAUGAAUAGGAAGGAGACGGUUUGGACAAGACAGAGAGAGGGGUCAUGUAAAAACAGGAAGAGAAAAGCAGUUGGAAUACUAAAGAGAAGACAUGCAGAGGAAAACAGGAUACAUUGUACAAUAGUUAAAUGGGAUAAAACACAUGUGAUAAAGUAGGAUAUACAACAUACUAUGAAGAGAGCCCCAAGUGCAGGAGGAAAUCCAGAUACUGGUUUAUAACAGAAGAAACUGGAGGAGAGUCUGAUAAAGAGAUCGAUGGAAGAACAGAACAUAAAAGAUCUACAAUUUGGAAUGUAUCUUUGGGCAUAGUGUGCCCUGCAGAGCAAAGUCUACCCAGACAGGGAUACUGAUUCAUGAUGAGGACUGAGCUGGGAAAGGAAUGGGAUCUGUUGUGUACAGGUAACAGCAUCUUCUGUUCCUCUGUAUACAUGAUUAGACAGGGAGAAAGCAAGAGUGUAUAUGUGUGUGGACAGGCAAUGGCAUAAUCCAUAGAUAUAGACAGAUCAUUAAUAUGUACCUUGACUGUAAGGUGCACUUCUGCUGAGCUCCAUUCCAGACCUCUAUGGACCGCUGCACACCGGGUUUUCAAGAUAACACUUCACAUAUCAUGAGAAUUACUACUGGGCUGAUCCUUACAGUCUGGCAAAGGUACUGGCAACAGAGCAAUAUUGAGAGUUCCCAUUGCUACUAAGGUUAGGAAUCUCAAUUAAUUGUUUGGGUAAAUAAGAAGUGUCACAUCAACAGCUGUAGAUAUUUUUCUGUUGCGUAAAUAAGGCUACUUUAAGCAGAGUUGUUUUAUUCUUACGUUAAUAAAGCCACAACAUUUAUUUACAGUGGUUCUGGGUGCCUUACUUCUUAUUUGUACAAGUGAUUGAUAAAUGUUUUUAUGGAGACAGCAAAGCCAUUAUAAACCUUGUCUGUAGAAACAGCGCCACCUUUAAAUAUAACGGCUGGAAAACAAACUGCAAUCCACUAAAAAACAUUUUUUUUAUUUUUUAUUUUUCUUAGAUAGCUAUGUAUAAUAUUAAGAGUAGUUUCACCUAAUUAAGUUGAAAUAGGACCCUGCGAAAACAAGCAGUAACCUAGUAGUGUUCCUGUAACAUUGUGUAAUUGUCUCAUUUAUUGUUAAAUAUGCCCCUUUUAUAAUGAUGUAGAGCACUGCGGAAUAACCUGGGGUUUCUAAAUUAUACACACUGUUUCUGAACUAUUUGUUUUGUUGAAAGCUAAAAUCAAUGCAAAUAAUGUCAGAACGUGUAUUUAUCUUUUAUGAUCUAAUAAAUCAUUUUUUAAAAUGGUCAAUAAAACAAUUGCAUUAGUGAGCAUACAUUUUACUGUAGUAGUACAUGAUUGUACAGAUUUAAUAACCAGAUGAAAAUCCUAUACAUGUAUUUUGCCUUUGCCUGGUAUCAGUAUGAAUUAAAAUCAACUUUCCCUAAAUAAAGUCAGUUGUUUCUUUAACUAUUCCCUGGAGAUAAAUCCUUUAAAACCAAAUCAUGGGUUGUGAUCUAGUGCUCCCUUACUAAGGGUGCUUGAAGAAAUGCAGGAUGAAGUCUGAACUGGAUCCAAGUCUGUGUUGACUUGCAUGUCGAGCUGGGAAUUCUGGGUAAUUGGUGAAACAUUUCUCAGAAUUAUUGUGCCAAGAGCCUUUUCCCAAAGUUCCAAUUGAAAUAUGCAGAUGAUACAC